Molecule: ribosomal RNA, 468 nt
Filed under: uncultured bacterium
Lineage: Bacteria
Description: partial 16S ribosomal RNA
Rfam family: Bacterial small subunit ribosomal RNA
Source: RNAcentral
GACGAACGCUGGCGGCGUGCUUAACACAUGCAAGUCGAACGGAAAGGCCCUGCUUUUGUGGGGUGCUCGAGUGGCGAACGGGUGAGUAACACGUGAGUAACCUGCCCUUGACUGUGUGAUAACUUCAGGAAACUGGGGCUAAUACCGGAUAGGAGCUCCUGCUGCAUGUUGGGGGUUGGAAAGUGUCGGCGGUUGUGGAUGGACUCGCGGCUUAUCAGCUUGUUGGUGGGGUAGUGGCUUACCAAGGCUUUGACGGGUAGCCGGCCUGAGAGGGUGACCGGCGACAUUGGGCCUGAGAUACGGCGCAGAAUGCUACGGGAGGCAGUAGUGGGGAAUAUUGCACAAUGGGCGGAAGCCUGAUGCAGAAACCCCGCGUGCGGGAUGACGGGUUUCGGGUUGUAAACAGAUUUCGACUGUGAUGAAGCGUGAGUGACGGUAAUGGGUAAAGAAGCACCGGCUAACUACGUG